RNAcentral lists this ribosomal RNA (160 nucleotides) under uncultured bacterium. RNAcentral's name for it is "partial 16S ribosomal RNA". The record is from RNAcentral.
CACGUAGUUAGCCGUGGCUUCCUGGUCAGGUACCGUCAAGGUACCGGCAGUUACUCCGGUACUUGUUCUUCCCUGACAACAGAGCUUUACGACCCGAAGGCCUUCAUCACUCACGCGGCGUUGCUGCAUCAGGCUUUCGCCCAUUGUGCAAUAUUCCCCA